Molecule: ribosomal RNA, 484 nt
Filed under: uncultured bacterium
Lineage: Bacteria
Description: partial 16S ribosomal RNA
Rfam family: Bacterial small subunit ribosomal RNA
Source: RNAcentral
AUUGAACGCUGGCGGCAGGCCUAACACAUGCAAGUCGAGCGGAUGAAGGGAGCUUGCUCCUGGAUUCAGCGGCGGACGGGUGAGUAAUGCCUAGGAAUCUGCCUGGUAGUGGGGGAUAACGUCCGGAAACGGGCGCUAAUACCGCAUACGUCCUUAGGGAGAAAGUGGGGGAUCUUCGGACCUCACGCUAUCAGAUGAUCCUAGGUCGGAUUAGCUAGUUGGUGGGGUAAAGGCCUACCAAGGCGACGAUCCGUAACUGGUCUGAGAGGAUGAUCAGUCACACUGGAACUGAGACACGGUCCAGACUCCUACGGGAGGCAGCAGUGGGGAAUAUUGGACAAUGGGCGAAAGCCUGAUCCAGCCAUGCCGCGUGCGUGAAGAAGGUCUUCGGAUUGUAAAGCACUUUAAGUUGGGAGGAAGGGCAGUAAGUUAAUACCUUGCUGUUUUGACGUUACCAACAGAAUAAGCACCGGCUAACUUCGUG